GUUCGGACUGUAGGCUGCAACUCGCCUACACGAAGUUGGAAUUGCUAGUAAUCGUGGAUCAGCAUGCCACGGCGAAUACGUUCCCGGGUCUUGUACACACCGCCCGUCACACCAUGGGAGCCGGUAACGCCCGAAGUCAGUGGCCCAACCGAGAGGGGGGAGCUGCCGAAGGCGGGACUGGUAACUGGGGUGAAGUCGUAACAAGGUACC
Molecule: ribosomal RNA, 210 nt
Filed under: uncultured bacterium
Lineage: Bacteria
Description: partial 16S ribosomal RNA
Rfam family: Bacterial small subunit ribosomal RNA
Source: RNAcentral